Molecule: ribosomal RNA, 431 nt
Filed under: uncultured bacterium
Lineage: Bacteria
Description: bacterial SSU rRNA
Rfam family: Bacterial small subunit ribosomal RNA
Source: RNAcentral
UGGGGAAUAUUGCGCAAUGGGCGAAAGCCUGACGCAGCAACGCCGCGUGAGUGAUGAAGGCCUUCGGGUUGUAAAGCUCUGUCAGAAGGAACGAAUUCUUCCCAGGAACAAUACCCUGGGAAAUUGACGGUACUUUCAGAGGAAGCACCGGCUAACUCCGUGCCAGCAGCCGCGGUAAUACGGAGGGUGCUAGCGUUGUUCGGAAUUACUGGGCGUAAAGCGUGCGCAGGCGGUUCUAUAAGACAGAUGUGAAAUCCCCGGGCUUAACCUGGGAACUGCGUUUGUGACUGUAGGACUCGAGUGUGGCAGAGGGGGGUGGAAUUCCACGUGUAGCAGUGAAAUGCGUAGAGAUGUGGAGGAACACCGAUGGCGAAGGCAGCCCCCUGGGUCAACACUGACGCUCAUGCACGAAAGCGUGGGGAGCAAACAGG